CAUGUGGGGCAAGCGUUGUUCGGAAUUACUGGGCAUAAAGGGUGCGUAGGUGGUUUGUUAAGUCAGGGGUGAAAUCCCGCGGCCCAACCGUGGAACUGCCUUUGAUACUGGCGAACUUGAGUGCGUGAGGGGUAGGGGGAACGAGCAGUGUAGCGGUGAAAUGCGUAGAUAUUGCUCGGAAGGCCAGAGCCGAAGGGGCCCUACUGGUGCGCAACUGACACUGAGGCACGAAAGCGUGGGGAGCAAACAGGACUAGAUACCCUGGUAGUCCACGCCGUAAACUAUGAGCACUAGAUGGAUGCCGAGCUAUCGGUGUCUGUCGGAGGCAAUUUGGUAAGUGCUCCGCCUGGGGAGUAUGGUCGCAAGGCUG
RNAcentral lists this ribosomal RNA (370 nucleotides) under uncultured organism. RNAcentral's name for it is "bacterial SSU rRNA". It matches the Rfam family "Bacterial small subunit ribosomal RNA", at positions 526 to 896 of the family's 1533-position model. The record is from RNAcentral.